This 372-nucleotide ribosomal RNA is filed under the name uncultured organism. RNAcentral's name for it is "partial 16S ribosomal RNA". It matches the Rfam family "Bacterial small subunit ribosomal RNA", at positions 527 to 896 of the family's 1533-position model. The record is from RNAcentral.
GUAGGUGGCAAGCGUUGUCCGGAAUUAUUGGGCGUAAAGCGCGCGCAGGCGGUUCUUUAAGUCUGAUGUGAAAGCCCACGGCUCAACCGUGGAGGGUCAUUGGAAACUGGAGAACUUGAGUACAGAAGAGGAAAGCGGAAUUCCACGUGUAGCGGUGAAAUGCGUAGAGAUGUGGAGGAACACCAGUGGCGAAGGCGGCUUUCUGGUCUGUAACUGACGCUGAGGCGCGAAAGCGUGGGGAGCAAACAGGAUUAGAUACCCUGGUAGUCCACGCCGUAAACGAUGAGUGCUAAGUGUUAGGGGGUUUCCGCCCCCCUUAGUGCUGCAGCUAACGCGUUAAGCACUCCGCCUGGGGAUACGGCCGCAAGGCUG